Molecule: small nuclear RNA, 191 nt
Organism: Pteronotus mesoamericanus
Lineage: Eukaryota; Metazoa; Chordata; Mammalia; Chiroptera; Mormoopidae
Product: U2 spliceosomal RNA
Exons: 1
Source: RefSeq, a predicted model, not a curated record
AUCAUUUCUCAGCCUUUUGGCUAAGAUCAAGUGUAGUAUCUGUUCUUAGCAGGUUAAUAUCUGAUACGUCCUCUAUCCGAGAACUUUCUAUUAAAUGGAUUUUUGGAGCUGGGGGAUGGAAUAGGAGCUUGCUCCACCCACUCCACACAUGGACCCGGUAUUGCAGUACUUCUGAGAAUGGCACACCAAAA